GAUGAACGCUGGCGGCGUGCCUAAUACAUGCAAGUCGAGCGAACGGACGAGAAGCUUGCUUCUCUGAUGUUAGCGGCGGACGGGUGAGUAACACGUGGAUAACCUACCUAUAGGACUGGGAUAACUUCGGGAAACCGGAGCUAAUACCGGAUGAUAUUUUGAACCGCAUGGUUCAAAAGUGAAAGACGGUCUUGCUGUCACUUAUAGAUGGAUCCGCGCUGCAUUAGCUAGUUGGUAAGGUAACGGCUUACCAAGGCAACGAUGCAUAGCCGACCUGAGAGGGUGAUCGGCCACACUGGAACUGAGACACGGUCCAGACUCCUACGGGAGGCAGCAGUAGGGAAUCUUCCGCAAUGGGCGAAAGCCCGACGGAGCAACGCCGCGUGAGUGAUGAAGGUCUUCGGAUCGUAAAACUCUGUUAUUAGGGAAGAACAUAUGUGUAAGUAACUGUGCACAUCUUGACGGUACCUAAUCAGAAAGCCACGGCUAACUACGUGCCAGCAGCCGCGGUAAUACGUAGGUGGCAAGCGUUAUCCGGAAUUAUUGGGCGUAAAGCGCGCGUAGGCGGUUUUUUAAGUCUGAUGUGAAAGCCCACGGCUCAACCGUGGAGGGUCAUUGGAAACUGGAAAACUUGAGUGCAGAAGAGGAAAGUGGAAUUCCAUGUGUAGCGGUGAAAUGCGCAGAGAUAUGGAGGAACACCAGUGGCGAAGGCGACUUUCUGGUCUGUAACUGACGCUGAUGUGCGAAAGCGUGGGGAUCAAACAGGAUUAGAUACCCUGGUAGUCCACGCCGUAAACGAUGAGUGCUAAGUGUUAGGGGGUUUCCGCCCCUUAGUGCUGCAGCUAACGCGUUAAGCACUCCGCCUGGGGAGUACGACCGCAAGGUUGAAACUCAAAGGAAUUGACGGGGACCCGCACAAGCGGUGGAGCAUGUGGUUUAAUUCGAAGCAACGCGAAGAACCUUACCAAAUCUUGACAUCCUUUGACAACUCUAGAGAUAGAGCCUUCCCCUUCGGGGGACAAAGUGACAGGUGGUGCAUGGUUGUCGUCAGCUCGUGUCGUGAGAUGUUGGGUUAAGUCCCGCAACGAGCGCAACCCUUAAGCUUAGUUGCCAUCAUUAAGUUGGGCACUCUAGGUUGACUGCCGGUGACAAACCGGAGGAAGGUGGGGAUGACGUCAAAUCAUCAUGCCCCUUAUGAUUUGGGCUACACACGUGCUACAAUGGACAAUACAAAGGGCAGCGAAACCGCGAGGUCAAGCAAAUCCCAUAAAGUUGUUCUCAGUUCGGAUUGUAGUCUGCAACUCGACUACAUGAAGCUGGAAUCGCUAGUAAUCGUAGAUCAGCAUGCUACGGUGAAUACGUUCCCGGGUCU
RNAcentral lists this ribosomal RNA (1372 nucleotides) under uncultured bacterium. RNAcentral describes it as "bacterial SSU rRNA". It matches the Rfam family "Bacterial small subunit ribosomal RNA", at positions 28 to 1381 of the family's 1533-position model. The record is from RNAcentral.